Molecule: ribosomal RNA, 1123 nt
Filed under: uncultured bacterium
Lineage: Bacteria
Description: bacterial SSU rRNA
Rfam family: Bacterial small subunit ribosomal RNA
Source: RNAcentral
AUUGAUUUUAUGCUUGCAUAAAUGAUUUUUGGAUUCGGAGCGAGUGGCGAACUGGUGAGUAACACGUGGGUAACCUGCCCCGAAGCGGGGGAUAACAUUUGGAAACAAGUGCUAAUACCGCAUAAUUAGUUGGAACCGCAUGGUUCCAACUUGAAAGAUGGCUCUGCUAUCACUUUGGGAUGGACCCGCGCCGUAUUAGUUAGUUGGUGAGAUAAAAGCCCACCAAGACGAUGAUACGUAGCCGACCUGAGAGGGUAAUCGGCCACAUUGGGACUGAGACACGGCCCAGACUCCUACGGGAGGCAGCAGUAGGGAAUCUUCCACAAUGGACGAAAGUCUGAUGGAGCAACGCCGCGUGAGUGAUGAAGGUUUUCGGAUCGUAAAACUCUGUUGUUAAAGAAGAACAAGUGUUAGAGUAACUGUUAACACUUUGACGGUAUUUAACCAGAAAGCCACGGCUAACUACGUGCCAGCAGCCGCGGUAAUACGUAGGUGGCAAGCGUUGUCCGGAUUUAUUGGGCGUAAAGCGAGCGCAGGCGGUUUUGUAAGUCUGCUGUGAAAGCCCUCAGCUCAACUGAGGAAGUGCAGUGGAAACUACAAAACUUGAGUACAGAAGAGGAAAGUGGAACUCCAUGUGUAGCGGUGAAAUGCGUAGAUAUAUGGAAGAACACCAGUGGCGAAGGCGGCUUUCUGGUCUGUUACUGACGCUGAGGCUCGAAAGCAUGGGUAGCGAACAGGAUUAGAUACCCUGGUAGUCCAUGCCGUAAACGAUGGAUACUAGGUGUUGGAGGGUUUCCGCCCUUCAGUGCCGCAGCUAACGCAUUAAGUAUUCCGCCUGGGGAGUACGACCGCAAGGUUGAAACUCAAAGGAAUUGACGGGGGCCCGCACAAGUGGUGGAGCAUGUGGUUUAAUUCGAUGCUACGCGAAGAACCUUACCAGCUCUUGACAUCUUCUGCCAACCCAAGAGAUUGGGCGUUCCCUUCGGGGACAGAAUGACAGGUGGUGCAUGGUUGUCGUCAGCUCGUGUCGUGAGAUGUUGGGUUAAGUCCCGCAACGAGCGCAACCCUUAUUAUUAGUUGCCAGCAUUUAGUUGGGCACUCUAGUGAGACUGCCGGUGAUAAA